Anas platyrhynchos (mallard) is the source of this 2996-nucleotide non-coding RNA. The record is from RefSeq and is a predicted model, not a curated record. Lineage: Eukaryota; Metazoa; Chordata; Aves; Anseriformes; Anatidae.
UAUGCUUUCUCUGACAAUGCUAAAGCUAAAGCUGAGAGCUUGCAUUUUUGGUUUUGUGUGCGUUCUGAGGUGGUUUUUGUUUUGUUUUUUAAACACAGAGGAACUUGAAAAUACAAGCACCAGGGAGACAUUAUUAUUUGAACACUUAAACUAGUAUUUCCCAGACUAUUGCUAUGUCUGCCACCUGGCUGGAAAGGGCCAUCAGCUGUUAUCCUACAGUGCUGCAGAUAAAGCCAAAAGCCAGAGGUUAGAGCAUUACCCAACACUCACCAUCCCACUUCAGUUCUCCAGGCAUAAAAAGCACUUUGUUUAGAGACCCAGCUGGGGACAAAGGCAACAGGUUGGGGACCAUGGGGGCUGCCUUUUUUUUUUUUUUUUUUUUUAAUAUAAACAUCUGAAAUGGAAAUUUUUUAGAUAUGUUUCUAAUAAGAUUUUCAGCUCUCUCUGGAAGAAGCACGCUGGAAGCAGCUGAAGCUGGCUCAGUGGAAAGCUCUUUUCAGUAGCCUUUGUGCAUACCACAGGGUCCAGGUGUCUACUAGGAAAUAUUACGCAACGCAGAAGCACGAACAGCCCAAGUCCAAGCCCACUUUCUAUUCACGAUCCCUGUAAAUUUUCCAAAAAAUCCAGGAGGGACUGCAGGGAUGAUCCAGAGAUGGGAAGAAAGAAACGGGAACACCGCUGUCACCAAGAUCUAUUCAGCCCUCUCCCGGGUACAAAGGGAGAAUUCUUCUCUCAACACAAGACCACAGACUUGGUUUGACAAACCCUAUGUACCUCUGCGUCUUACAGGUGCACACACAUGCUCCAGUGUGUAUUGGAGGUAUGUGUGCACACAUCUAUUUGCAAACACAUAAAGAAGUUACAGCUUGAGGAAUGAGCCCAUUACCAUUAAGCACUGCUGCUUAAAUAUGUCAGAAGCACAGUAAAUUAGAUCUGCAGGACAAGAUGUAUGUGCACGUACACUGAUGCUCUCCGUCCUCUUCAAAAAAAGGUUUAAAACAUGCUCAUAUAAAAACUCUAUUUGGCACAUCCUGCUUAUUAAUGAUUUACUAUCAAGCUUCUGUGGUCCAAUUUCCUCUGAAGUAAAAUAAAAGUAACAGGAGCCUGCACACACUUACACAUCAUCUCCCACCCUAGUAAGAUAUAUUUGUUUUGGCUCUGAAUCUACUGAGUCCUUAUCUCAUGUCAUCAAACAUUGCCUCACACUUCCCAUAACUCUCAGGUUUUGAUUUUACAGGACAGCACUCUUAAUUUAUACCUACAAGAGGGAUCGAUUCCCAGUUGUUGUUGCUUGGGCCAACCACUGCACAAUACUUGAACUACUGGCAUUUACCAUCUUCAUGGGAAGGUAAGACAGAGGUGCAAAUAUCAAGACAGGAGAAGUGAAGACGACUGACUGAAUUCCAGAUCCACUCAGGAACUUAGGAAUCCAAAUCUCAUCCAAAUCAGAGGGAAGAGGGGCUAUUAAAAAUUAGACCACAGAAAGAUUUACACAGUUAAUCUUGCCUGAAGUUAUGUCAGAACAGUAGCAGAACAGCAAUUAAAUCCAUGCUUCUCAAGUCCCUUGUCACAGCUUUAGCCACCAGGUCAUCCCUUCUCUUCUCGGUAGCUGAUGUUGGACAAGCUGUUAAUGUACAAUUUCGAUCUGAAGGAUGCAUGUUUUUAGUAGAAGUCAAGUGGGUGCAGUUUGUUUGUGUUUGUACACCCACGGCCAGGUCUCUGAACCUUGUGGCUAUUUGUGAAUGUGAAUUUCUGUAUACUUGGAGAAUUGUCAAGAAACGCUGCAAGUACAGAUGGUACCCUGGAAAAAAGGGGCACUUUGCAUCUGUUUACUAUGCAAAUUAAUUCAUUUAACAUUUUUUGACAGCAGGUCAGUUUAGAACAGGAAUCGGGCUAAAAAGUUGGCAAUUUAGAAACUAAGUUCUACUCUGCCCUCUAAAAAGUGAAAAAAUCCAAGAGAGAAUUAAAAGUAAUUAGGCAGAAAACUGCAAUUAAGCUCAGAAUGAAUUUAAUUUUUAAACCAUUAAUCCUUGCUGCUUCUGGAAAACUGAGAAUCAUGGUGGAUAUCUACACAGAAAACAAAAAUGGUGAUGUGACUGCAGCAGUGCUCUCUGACCCACGGAGCAGCACUCCCACGCUGAAGCAGGAAGAAGCACCUUGGGAGAAACCAGACCUGGAUGGCAAUGAGUUAGCCUCAGCUCUGGCACUCUCUCAAGCAAUUCAUCUCAUUCUCUCAUCCUAAAGCACCUUACUGUCUUGGGCAGAGUUCUAGGAAGGAUCACAAAAUGAUCUCGUUAAAAAUGCACCAGAUCAUUAUAUUAAAUUGGUGGAGACUACAAUUAAAAAGUGAAUGCUUCUGGAUUGCAAAACCCAAUAGGGAUUUAGGGGCUUAAAGAUAAAAAGACAGUAAUCAAAGAGAUAUUCUCUGCAUACCUAAAAGAAUAAAAUACAAAGACAUGAAACUUGUAUUCCAAGUAAGAUAAAGGAACACCUGUGAAUACUUCAUGAUUUUUCCAUCAAAUACCUUUCUUACUUCUUCCCUAGUCCUACUUUUCUAGAACCAAAAUCCACUUGAUUUCCAUAAAUUAAUCUGUGAGGUUUUUUGUUCAUUUGUUCAUUUGUUUUUCCUGUAUUGUUUCCUUCCAAAUUUCCUACCUACUUAUUUCUCUUAACAGCUUCAAUAGAAUAUAAAAUAUCUCUUUUUAUAAAAUUACAUGCAACCUAUCAUCUAUCACAAGACACAUGAAAAAUUUAAGAAGUAAAGUGAUUAUGGGCUUUGCAGAUCCAUUCAUCAAGGUAUUGUAGACAAACUAUGACUGGAAAGGAAAAUGGGAUAAAUCAAGAUUCUAUGAAGGACAAAUUAGUGGGUUUUUUUUGGAAAAAAUCCACGUUUUCAAUUAUUUUAAAAUAAGUGUUCUCAAGACUCCAUAUUAUCAAAGAAGAGACCUAGAUUAAGAACAAAGUAAAGAUCAGAAAGCAGUGUAAAAAAAAAAAAA